This 85-nucleotide transfer RNA is filed under the name Candidatus Lindowbacteria bacterium RIFCSPLOWO2_02_FULL_62_12. RNAcentral describes it as "tRNA-Tyr". It matches the Rfam family "tRNA". From Rfam's summary of the family: Transfer RNA (tRNA) molecules are approximately 80 nucleotides in length. Their secondary structure includes four short double-helical elements and three loops (D, anti-codon, and T loops). Further hydrogen bonds mediate the characteristic L-shaped molecular structure. tRNAs have two regions of fundamental functional importance: the anti-codon, which is responsible for specific mRNA codon recognition, and the 3' end, to which the tRNAs corresponding amino acid is attached (by aminoacyl-tRNA synthetases). tRNAs cope with the degeneracy of the genetic code in two manners: having more than one tRNA (with a specific anti-codon) for a particular amino acid; and 'wobble' base-pairing, i.e. permitting non-standard base-pairing at the 3rd anti-codon position. Lineage: Bacteria; Candidatus Lindowiibacteriota. RNAcentral also lists the same sequence under 1 other name. The record is from RNAcentral.
GGGCGUGUGGCAGAGCGGCGAUUGCACCUGACUGUAGAUCAGGCGGGCCUCUGGCCCUUCGGUGGUUCGAGUCCAUCCACGCCCA